Molecule: long non-coding RNA, 41488 nt
Filed under: Physcomitrium patens
Lineage: Eukaryota; Viridiplantae; Streptophyta; Bryopsida; Funariales; Funariaceae
Description: long non-coding RNA (PPAT_LNC010908)
Source: RNAcentral
UUUUUUUUGUUUUGUUUUUUUUUUUUUUUUUUCUAAUUUCAUCAAUUUUUUUUUAAUCUUUAGUAGUCAUAUUGACUUUUAUCAAUUUUAAUUUUUGAAAAUAAUGUUUAUAUAUUAUUAAUAUUAUUUAUAUAUAAGUAUAUUAUUAUUAUUAUUAUUUUUUUAAAAGUAAAAUAAAAUAAUACUUGAUAAAAAUAAAGUAUAUUUAAAAAACUUGCUUACAUAUAAGGGAAUAGCUACCAUUAUCACUAAUAGUAGCAUCAACUAUCAGCUAAAUUCUACUAGCUUCAAAAUAAGUUCUAACUUGGCUUGUUUAUUAGCUCCAGCAAAAUGGAGCGUUUUUUUGGUUGGCUUUGGAAAAAAUUACUAUAUCAUGCUAGGAUCAGGUAUCAUAGACAUACAUAUUUACUCUCAUAGUUAUCUAGGUAAUAUGAAUUAGUAGAAAUAGGUAAAAAUAGAUUAAUUUGAUAAUAUCUUAUAAAGAAGAUUUUUAGAAGCUUCAUAGAUGUGGUUUCACCUUUAUAUCUAUCUACAAGUAAUUGAUGGAUUAGAAAAUUCACCAACAAGUUAGCCACAUGUCACAUGUAUUGAUAGCUUAUAAUAUAAGCUAAUAAUGUAGCACAUAUAUAGAAAACUUGCCUUGCAAGUUACAACAUGUGUCUCAUAAAUUAGACACAUGUUGAAGGUCCUAUAGAAUGUUGUUACAUAACUCUUAGUUAGAUAGUAUAUAUGAAGAUAAGAAUAAAGCCUUCUUCAUUCUUGUCAAUUCUUUUCUUAUUUCUAGUCUAGUUUCAUAGGUUGCUAAUUUUCUUAUCUUUUGGCAAUAGCCAUUCUAGUCUCUUUUGAAUGUAUAUAUUUACUUUUUUUCAUUUUUUCAUCUUUCUUUGAAAAAAGUCUCAUUUUUUUAUUUGUCUUUAUCAAGUUAUAAUGCUUUGCACCAAUACUUGAAAUAGGGCCUUGAGAGAACCAAUUUAGUAUAGACAAGUAGCACAAGGUUUGGCUUCUACCAACUAUAUGGUGAGGUAGUUGAUAGAAGCCAUUUUUCUUUCAUUUUAUCAUGUAAAGAUGGUUUUUUAGAAAAAAAGAGAGAUUAGAAGUGAAGUUCCUAGAGAGCCAAUAUGGAGUGGUGUUGUGUGAUCACACAACUAUAUGGUGAAAAAUAAAAAUAUGGAUGUUAUUAUAAAAGAGCCUAAUAAUAAGAUGUAGUAGAAAAACAAAGAUAAAUGAUGAAAAGGUAGUAAAAAUUUGUCUUAAUGUUGCUUUUUGUAGAAGGAAUAUCUAUUUACUUUGUAAGAAUAUAAAUGCCUCAAAUAAAAAUAAACAGGAUAAGUAAAUAAUAUAAAAAACUUUAAAAAAUAAUUAAAAAUAUAUUUUAGUAAAACAUACUUCAAAAUACCAAAAAUUGAUAUUAGGAGAGGAUUGAUUGUGAAUUUGGGUCAAAAUCAGAUCCCAAUAUACAAAACAAGGCACCUAUGGCAACUCAGGGGUUCUUUAGUCAAUUAAAGAAUGAGAUUUGAGAGCAAACUUCAAAAGAAAUUUUUAAGAGUUGAUUUCAUGUCAUUUAGAUGGAUAUUAAGGUUUUGAAGACUUUUCAAAGUUAGAGGUGUAUUCGGGGGGUUUAGAUUUUGAGAAAUAAAAAUAACUUUACAAAUUUUAAGUUUUUGUGAGUUUUGUGGCUUAUUUAAAGGUGAAAAUUUAUUUAGUUGUCAUUGUGCUAGUUGAAAAUAUAUGUAAGAAAUUUUAUAUCAAUCAAGUAGUUAAAUUGAAGGUUAUUAAAUUUUUUGUGGAUUAUGAUCUUAGAUAUUUAAAAUUUAGGAUCAAUAAGGAUUUCUACAAUCUAGAAAAAUAUGCCAAUUCAAUUUUACCAAAAUUUGGUGAGAGAAAUUUAAAUUCAAAUACCUACAUACAAACCAAUUUUUGGAGAAAUUGAAUGGUUUAGCAAGGAGAAAUCUUUGUUGAAAGAUCAACAUUCAAAUUAGAAAAGAAGAGUGGUCAACAUCCAAGAGGUUUUAAGAGCUUUUUUUACAAUUGGUGUAUUUGAUUCUUUUCAAAUUUUGCAUGUUUGUUAAUUGCUUGUUGAUAGAAGUCUUGGUGAAAUUUUAGUCAAGAUCAACAAUUCAAUUAAUAUUUAUUGAGGUUUCAAACAACUAUAGUAAUUGAUUAAGAUUUUAUUUAAUAUUGUUUUGAAAUUGUUUAAGGUUUGAUCAGGUUUUGGUUAGGAUUUAAGAUUUGAUUAAGAUUGGUUUAGAAUUUGGUUAGGAUUUAGUUAGGUUUUAAUUAGGAUUAAUUUAGAAUUUAGGAUUUGAUUAGGAUUUAAGAUAUAAUUAGUGUUGAUUUGAAAUUUGAUUAAGAUAUGGUUAGGAUUUAAUUAGGAUUAGUUUAGAAUUUAUAAUUUAGAAUUUGGUUAGGAUUUAGGAUUUCAUUAGGAUUUUAUUAGGAUUUGAUUUAGAAUUUUUUAAAGUUUUAUUAAGAUUUAAAUUAGGUUUUCAUUAGGAUUUUUUUAGGAUUUGAUUUAGAUUUUUUUAAAGUUUUAUUAAGAUUUAAAUUAGGAUUUAAUUAGAAUUUGAUUUGAAUUUAUUUAGAAUUUAUUUAGAAUUUAUUAAAGAUAUUUAUUUUUAUUAUUUUAAAAAUAUUCUUUAUUAUUUCCUUAAAAUUUUCUAUUUUUUAUAUUUUUUAAAGACUAUUAUUAUUUCUUUAAGUUUUUAUUUAUUUAUUUAUUUUUAUUUUUUAUAAUUUUAUUAUUAUUUGAAAUUAAUUUUUAGAUUCUUUGUGUUUCUUUUGUAUGUUUUUUAAAUUUUCUUUCAUACUGGUUAAAUUUUGAUAAGAAUUAUUAAAGAUUACUUAAAAUUUAUUUAAGACUCUAUUAGAUUAGGUUGGAUUUUGUUAUUGUAUUUCUACUUACCUUCUAUAGCUAGGUGUUUAGUGCAUUUUCAAGCAAAAAUUCACAUAAUACAACAACAAGCACAUGUGCCAUACAUCCACAGCAUCCACUUUUUGGCCAUCCGUAUUAGGUCCAAUAAGUGGCAAUGCCCUUAAUAUAUGAUCUUAAUUUUAUUUAAAUAAGUAUUUGUAUCAUUUGAUAGAAUAAAUUUAAUUUUAAAAUAUAAUAUCAAUUUAUUUUUAUCAUCUACUUCUAAUAUAUUUUAUAAAUCAGAUUAGUAUAAUUAAAAAUAUAUAUAUUUUUAAACCUAAUUUUGGUAUAAUUUUUUAUAUUUUAUUUUUAAAUAUUUUAAAGUUUUAUCUAAAAAAAUAGAUAUGAAGUGAAAUUUUAAUUUUGAAUUAUGAACUGAUUUUAAGAAUACAUAAUUAAAAAUAUGUUAAAAAAUAUUUUAAAAUCGUUAAAGUAAAAAUUUAAAUAAAAUGAAAAAAGAUUAAGCAUAUUUAUGUGACAACAUGUGCGUUUAAAAAUUAUUUAUAAAUUUAGAUUGGCCAACUUUGCUUGAAAAUAUUCUACCUUCAGUAAUUAAAAAAAAUAUUUAAAAAAUAUAUGUAUAUUUGCAUUAUAACAAUAUAUAUAAUAAAAUAUCCAUAUCUUUUGAUAUGAUUAUUAAAAUCUAUACCACCAAAUAAUAAAAUGUCAUUAAAACUUGGCCAAAAUUUCUACUACAAUGCAUUCAUAUCAAUCCAUUGUAUAUUGACAUAUGUUUAAUAUUUAUUGUAUGGUAAAAAUCUGUAUAUAAUUAGUUUUCAACAACUUAUUAAAUUAAAUUUUAUUGGAAUAAUUUAAUAGCACAUGUGACGUUUUCAAACUUAUUGUAUAGCACUUAUAGAAAUUUGAGUAAGAAAAUGUCUAUUCCAUAUUUUUAUCAUUUAGGUGUAGCAUAAAAAAAAUUAUUCUAACUAUUUUUUCUUUUUUAAAUUUAAAAUAUUAUUGUGUAGUAAAUAAUUUUAUAAUUUAAAUAAUUCAAAAAAAGACAUAUAUUUUAAAAUUUUAAUUAGAAUUUUAUAUAUAUAUAUAUAUAUAUAUAUAUAUAUAUAUAUAUAUAUAUAUUUGUGUGUGUGUGUAUGUAUGUAUGUAUGUAGAUUUUUAGAUAAUUAAAAUUGAUUAAUUUUUUUAUUUUUAUUUAAUUUUUUUCAAAAAAAUAGAUUUUAAAGAAAUAUUAAUAAAGUAUUUUUUAAUUUUUUUUAUAAAUUACUUCUAAAGAAUAUGUUAAAUAAAUCAAUAAGAAUAUUUUUGAAAUUCUAUCUAAAACAUCAAUUUGAAUAAUUUAAAGUAUUUUAAAAAGAUAUCAAUUAAAAAAAUAAAAAAAUGAAGAUAUUAUCAUAUAAGUUGUAACUUAAAUAUAGAUACAUAUAUCCAAAUGAAUAAAAUUAUGAUUAAAUAGCAAUAGCUUUAACAUGGGGCAAAAGAAAGUAGUGUGAAGGAUUCUUUGAUAUAUAUUUUUUAAAUUAAUUUUUUUUGAAUAAAAUAGGGUCGAAAUAUAAUAACAAUAAAUAAGAAUUUAAAAAAUAAGAAAGAAAUAACUAAAAUAAAAAAAUUAAUUAUUUGAUAAUUUACAAAAAGGUUUAAGUUUUAGUAAGCAUUUUAGGUAUAUACAUAUUAUAAUAUAUAUUUAAAAUUUCUAUAUAAGAAUAAAAUGAAAUAAAAUAAAAGAUAAAUAUAUCAAAAAUAUAAAAUAUAAAAACUAUUAAAAAAAUAAAAAAAAUUAAUAAAUAUGUAAGAAAAGAAAUAAUUAUAAAUAGAAAGUUUGAUCCAAUUCAAUAUCAAGGAUGAAAUAAAAGGUUUGAUAUAAUUCAAUAUUGAAGAAGAGAUAGAAGAAAUUAUUAAAAAAAUACAUUUAAAGAUAAUUUGAAUAUGUCAGAUUUAUUAACUAAUAAAUUAAAGAAAUAAAAAAUUUAGAGGUGUUUUAAAAAAAAUAAUUAGAUUAGAUAAGAAUAAUAAUCAAAACGUAAUAGGGUAUGAAUAAGAUAUUUAUAUUAUUAGCACCUAGAGAUAUGUAAUUGGAGUCAUUUUUGGAAAGUUUUUAGAAUUGAGGUUAGGAUGGUGGUUUAUGUAGAAUCCACCAUAGAACCUUUUAGAAAGAUAUAGGGCAGUUAAUAUGGUAGAUCCUACUUUUAGAAUCUUCUAAAUAGGUAGUUAUCUUGGUGAGGCCUACCAUUAGAGAUAUUCUAGAAAGUUCCAGGGAUAGUUGAACAAAGUAUAAAUAGGACUAAUUGAGGCCAUUUAGACAUUUGGUUAGGUAUGAUUUUAGACUCUUUCUCUAAGUAAAUUUUGGUUGCUAUUCCUUGUUUUAUUCUGUUUGGUUUUGUUUGGUUUAAUUUUCUUUUACUCAAUCUUGUCUUUCAUGUUCUAUUCAGUUUAGUUACUUUCAGUUUUGUUUUAGUCUGUUUGGUCUUACGUUGUCUCAAAAUCUUUGUUGUUAUGAAAUUGAUAAGGUUUUAGACCUUAGAGAAUAUAGAUUUGUUUUACAAAAGGUUUAUAGAAGAAAAAUAAGAAAAAUAUAUAUCUAAUAUAUAUAUAUAUAUAUAUAUAUAUAUAAGAAGAAGAAGAGAUUAAGAUAAGAUAUAUAUAUAUAUAUAUAUAUAUAUAUAUAUUUUUAAAAUAAAAUUUGAAACAAGAUUAAUUAUAAUCUACUAAAAUAUUAUUAGAUCUUAAGCCAAGUUUGAUUUUAAUUGUAUUAAUAAAUCAUUAUAUACAUAAGAAAUAAAAGUAAAAUUUAUGUAUGAUAUAAAUAUAAAUAAAUUAAAAAUGAAAUGGAUGUAACUUAAAAACAAAUUAGAUUUGAAUUUGGUAUCAAUAUUUUAUCUCUUCUACCAGAAUUAAAUAUAUUUUUAUUAUUAAUUAUAAAAAUUUAGUUUAUAAUUUUAUUUCUUUACUAAAUGUAUCAAAUUAGUAAUUAGAUAUCUCAUGUUUAUUCAAAAAGACUCUUUUAAUAUAUAAAUUUUUAAUUUUUACUAAAAUAAUAUUUUUUAAAAUUUAUAUGCUAUAUAAUACUUUAUAAUUUUAUGAUUUAUAAAAUAUUUUUUUUAAUUUAUAUUUUUUAAAAUAUAAUUUAUAGGUUUAUUUUUAUAUUAAUUUAAAAUUUAAAAUUAUUUAUUUUUUAGUAAAAUAAGGAAAAAAUAAGAAUUUAAUAUUUUAAAAAAAUUCAAAUCAAAAUUUUAUAUCUUUAUUAAGAUAAUUUUUUUUGUAUCUUUUAUUUUUGAUUAAUAUUUUAUUUAAAAUUUUAAAAAUUAAGAAAAAUAUAAAUUUAUUUAUAUUUAAAGUUUAAAUUAUUUUUUAAAUAAUCCAUGUUAUAUUAAAAUAUUAAUACUUACUUUUGUUUUUUAAUUUUGUCUUAAAAUAUUAAAUUUAUUUUUUAAAAUUUACUUCUUUUGAAUAUAUAUAUAUAUAGACCAUUUUAUAGACCAUUUUAUAGACCAUUUAUUGAAUAUAUAUAGACCAUUUUAUAGACCAUUUAUUGAAUAUAUAUAUAUAUAUAUAUAUAUAUAUAUAUAUAUAUAUAUAUAUAGACCAUUUAAUAGAUCAUAUAUAUUAUUAUUUUUAUAUUUAUGGUUUAUACUUAUUUUAUUUUGAUUUAUAAUUUAUCUUUUUAAUUAUAUUUAUAUCUUAUUUUUUAAAUAUUUUUUUAAGAUUAUUAAUUAUUCUUAAUCCUAAUUAUAUAUAAAUUAAAAUUAAAGAUUUUUUCUUAGACCAAUAAUUUUUAUCAACCAAAUAAACUUAUAGAUUUUGUAGUAGCCUUUAUGGCAUAAUUGGAUUGAUAAGAUUGCUUUAGUUCCAUUGUGACAAAAAUAUUUAUUUAUUUCAAUAAUUACCUAUUUGAUUAGGUAGAAGUAAAUAAAUUUAGAUAAGUUUCAUAAUAUCUUCUAUAAAAGCUUUUUAAAAGCUUCAUAGAUGCAAUUUUGACUUUAUAUGUGUUUGUAAUUAAUUAAUAGGUUAAAAACUUGGUCAAUAAGUUAACUAUGUGCCACAAAUGUUGAUAGCUUGUGAAACAAGAUAAUUAUGUAGUACACAUAUAAAAAACUUCCCUUGUAAGUUAAGAUAUGUGUUUAGCAAAGUCAACACAUGUUAAAAGUCUUAUAGAACAUUGUUAUAUAGCUCCUAGUUAGAUAGUAUACAUGGAGGCAAGAGUGAAGCCUUCUUCACUCUUUUUAAUGCCUUUUUGGUUCUUAGUCUUCUUUCAAGACUUUCUAGUCUUUUUGUUUUGGAUAAUAGCCAUUCUAAUACAAUAUUAUAUUAUCUUUGAAUGACUUUCUAGUUUUUUUAAUAUUACAAGAAUGUGUUGAGGAUUUCUUUCUUUGAGAUUCAUAUCCUUGAAAAUUUGACAAGAGUCCUAACUUACUUUUUUUUAUCUUAUUUUAGAAGUGAGUGAAUUAUCUCACUUCUAUUAUUAUAUUUUAAAUAUUAUAGACUAUCUACUUUUAAUAUAUAUAUUUAUAUAUAUAUAUAUAUAUAUAUAUUAAUACUGAUAUUUUUCUUUAAAAAAGUAGAUUGUCUUUCUUUGUAGAAAUUUUUAUUUAAUAUUAGAGAUUGUAGAUUAUCUUCUUUUUAUUUAAUUUUUUGAAUUUAUUUGAUUUAUCCAUAGAAAGAAAGAUUAUAGAUGCUACUCUCAGCGGAAGUGAGAAUAAAUUUGCAACUAUUGCACAUCUUUAUGAGCUUGUUAAUACUCUUAGAAUAGAAAUCUCGUAUAUUUCUAAUGUGAAUCAUAGAAGUACUAUACCUACAUCUAUAGAAGAAGUUUAGAGUUUGCAAUAAGAAGUUGUGUAGUUGAAGGAAGCAAGUAGAUCGACCUUGCAACCAAAUCUAAGGAGUUUUGUUCCUAUUAGUAUGAUGGAGAUAAGAAUUAGUAUACAUGAGAAGUUUGAUGGAAUAGGAUAAAAAUUUCAAAGAUUUUUGCAAUAAGUCAAGUUCUAUCUAAGGUUGGAUUUCUUCCAAUAUCUUUGUGGAUUUAUUCAAGUAGGAUUUAUAGGUGCACUUUUAUCAAGAAGUACUUACUCUUGGUUUGUAACUUUAAUGAAAAAAGAUUUGCAACUCAUCUAUGAUUUGAAUUCAUUUCUAGAAGUGUUAAUGGCUACAUUUGAAAAAAAAUGAUCAAAAAAGAAUAGCAAAGACUAAGCUCUUAUCUUUAUGGCAAGGAUCACGAUUAGCUAUCAUAUAUGCUAUUGAAUUUCAAAAUCUAGCUUGCAACAUGGACUAGAAUGACAAAGCCCUUAUCAAUCAAUUUUGAUAUGGAUUGAAGGAUAAUGUCAAAGAUUUGUUAUUGACAAUACAAAAGGCAAAACCUUUAGAAUAAUUUAUUAUUCAAGCUAUUGUAUGUAAUAAUCGAUUAUUUGAAAGAUGUCAAGAAUAAAAAUUUGAUUGAAGAAGAACAAAUCAAAUAAUGACAAUAAUUAUCAAGUUUUUAAAAACUUGUUCAUUGAGGCUAAAAUCAAUGUAAAUUGAUAUGGUAUGUUUUAAACCCCUCUCACAGCAGGAAAAGACUUAACAAUAUCAAAAAGGCUUAUGCUUAUAUUAUAGAGAAGCUAAAUACACUGCUCAACAUUGUCCAAAGAAACAAUGCAAUCACAAAAUAAAAAGCAUUGUUGCCAAAGAAGAAGAGGUAUCAUAAAACAAGUUUUUCCAACUACAGUAGGGACUAUGCAGCUAAAAUCUUAUAUAACUCUUAGUAAAGGUCCUAUUUUCUCCUCGGAUCCUUCACCUUGUUUUACAAUAGAAGUUUAUUUAGGACCAAAAAAUCACAAAAACUUAGCUUUAUUAGAUUUAAGAGCCUCAACUUAUUUUAUAGAUAAAAAUUUUGCCAAAAAAUGAAAAAUAUCAUUAGUCAAAAAGACUAAAUAUGUAUAUGUAGAAGUUAUAGAUGGUCAUUUUCUAUCUUCUAGAGUUGUUACACAUGAGAUUAUUCUUUUAGAUAUAGCAAUUAAAGAUCAUAAUAGCAUGUCAAUAUUUAAUAUAAUAAGAUCUAUGUUUAAUUUGAUAAUUUUAGAAAUUAUCUUUGUUAAAAAAAUAUAAUCUUUAGAUAGAUUGGAUUUUUCUUAAUCUUAAUUUUUCUUAUAAUUUAAUUCAAAAUCUCAUUAGUCAAGUAAAAAUAUAUAACUCUAAUACAUCUAAAUCUUUAUUGGUAGAUGCAAGAGCUUUUAUACAUGUUGCAAAAGAAGGGUUAUUUUUUUCUCUAUAUACCAUGCCUAUUUCAAAUAACAAGAAGAUGUCAAGUGAUAUUCUUAGCUAAUAUUAAGAUUUUCAAGACGUUUUUGAAAAUAAGAAUGCAGUUAUUCUUCCAAAGUAUUGUCCUUAUGAUUGUUCUAUUGAUCUUCAUAAAAGAAUUCAACCACCAUUUGGACCAAUCUAUAGCCUAUCACAAAAUGAAUUGGUUGCACUCAAAGAGUACAUUGAUGAAAACUUAGCUAAGAAUUUCAUAUGUCAUUUUAAAUCUCAAACUAAGUCUCUUAUUUUAUUUGUGAAGAAAAAAAAAUAGAUCUCUAUGGAUGUGUGUAGACUAUUAAAGAUUAAAUAAGAUCACCAUCAAAAAUAGGUAUCUACUACCUUUGAUUUUAGGACUUCUUGAUCAAUUCAAUCAAGCAAAGAUCUAUAUAAAAAUAAAUCUACAAAGAGUAUAUAAUUUGGUAUACAUUAAUAAAGGAGAUGAAUAGAAAACUUCAUUUCAAACCAUGUAUAAAUAUUUUGAAUAUAAUGUCAUGCCUUUUAGACUUACAAAUGUACUAAUUACUUUUCAACAUGUAACAAGUGAUGUUUUUUGUGAAUUUCUUGAUGAUUUGUCAUUUUUUAUUUAAACAACAUGUUAAUCUACUCAAAGAACACAAAUGAGCAUAAAGUUUAUAUUUUUUGUGUAUUAAAAAAACUUAGAAAUACAAGAUUAUAUGCAAAGUCAAAAAAUUAUGUAUUCCACACUAUUCAAGUUAACUUCCUAAAAUACAUCAUUUUCAAUGAAGGGCUAAUGGUAGAUCUGAAAAAAGUCUAAACUAUCAUGGAUUAGAAGAUUCCAAAAAUAGUAAGAAAUAUGUAAUACUUAUGAGCUUUGCUAAUUACUAUCAAAAAAUUUUCAAGUUGUAGUGCUACUUAUAUGUUUGACUUAUAAAAACAAAUUUGAAUAGAAUAAAGAAGCCAAAGUAUUUUUUGAUGCUUUAAAAAAGGCGUUUAUUUUUUCACCAAUUUUAUAUCAUAUUGACUUUUCUAAAGUAUUUUUUAUGGAAAUAGAUGCAUCAAACUUUGCCUUGGAUGCAAUAUUAUCACAAAUAGGAGCAGAUGAUAAACUCUAUCUAGUAGCUUUUUAUUCUAAAAAAUUUCAAUAGCCAAGAUUAAUUAUGAAAUCCAUAACAAAAAGCUCCUUGCAAUCACAGAUUUAUUUUAAGAAUGGCAUCAUUAUUCUUAUCUUGCACCAAAAGAAAAAGAUGCAUCUUUUGAUCAACAAAAAAUGAUUUUCUUGAAGUCAAAUUAUUUUCACCUUCAAGCAACAAAAUGAACAUUGAUUGUUGAUUCAACGUUUGUCAAGCAAAUUCAAUCAAGUAUAUCCUCUGAUCUUCUUGUCUAUGAUAUCAAGAAUAAUUCUUCUAAGUCUCAUGAUAUUUUCAAGUUUGAGUUCAAGAACAACCUAUUUUAUUUUGAAAGACGAUUAUACAUUCCAAAAGAUGGAAUUUGAUUACGUAUUCUUCAAACUCAUCAUGACUUUCUAGCAACUAAAUAUUUUAGUUACAAUAAGACUUUGGAGUUAAUAUUGAGAGGUUUUUGGUGGCUUCAAAUAUAGAAGGAAGUCCAAGACUUUGUACAAUCAUGUGAUAUUUUUUCAAGUUCCAAAACUCAUCUCCAUCAAUCUCAUAAACUUUUUCAGCCAUUACUUAUUCUUAAGCAAUCAUGGUCUUCUAUUUCUAUGGAUUUUAUUAUGGUGUCAAGUUGUGGUUUGGCUACCAUAUAAAAAUAAUGUGAUUAUGUAUUUAAUGUAUAAUUUAAUUAACAACAUAGUGAGAGCCAUGUUAUUGGAUUUUAAUUGGUUGUAGAAUGUGGUUAAAUUACUACUUUAAAAAGAAUUUGUUUAAAAUGAUUACUAUUAGAAUUUAUAUAACUUUAUUUUCUUUUGAUAGUAGCUUUUGAGAUUGAUUUUAUUGGUAGUAAUUUUAAAUAUUUAGAAUCAUCUUUAUUAGACAUCGGUGACCCUUGAAGUCUUAUUUUGGUUCUUUAAUUUGGUGUUUAGAACAUAUAUUGAAUAAAUCUUAUAAAGAAAAGAGUUGGAGAGGGCUUUUGAUUAUAAAAAGAGAAUUUAGGGCAUCUAUAUAGAUGAAUGGAGAUGGAUGAUGAAAAUCUCCAUUUCUAUUGGUCAAAAAUCAUGACCAAUGGGCUUCAAGGAGGCUGACCAAGGCCGUAUUAGAGAUUAGGGUUAGUUUUUCGGACCCAUUUGAGCUUUGAAGGCUAAGGUCAGUAAGUUUAGGUUUUUGGCUAUGGUUUUGAUGCAAAUGUUAUAUGAUUCAGAGUUUAUAUGAAGGAGAUAUAGGUGCUCAAAGUUAAGGUGUUGAUUUGGAAGCUACUAUCACUAUUUUUGACAUAAUGCACUCAUACAGAUAGCAAUUGAAGUUCGAAGACUGCGAUUGAAGAGAGCACUUUUGUGGCUAUAGUUUUUGGAUACUGUUUGCUAGAUUCUAAAUUGAAGUGAAGGAGUUAUUGGAUUUUGAAGUCAAUACAUGCAAUCUAAGGGUAGUAUGUAAUCCGAUUUACUAGUGGUUAUAUCUUGAACUAUAUCUUGAGUAAUUUGACAAGGUUAUGGUUCAAAAUUUAGAAAAUUUGUAAAUUCAUGUUAGAAAACUUUGUACAUAAGUUUUAUGACAUUUGAAUAUUGGAUUCUUGAGAUAUUAAGAAAAUAGUACUCACGUGCUUAUAAAUUAGGGUUUAAAGCAUUUGCUAGGAUUUCUUAGUUGUCAGAAGAUUGGGAGUGAAUUUGUAAUUGGAUUUUUUUUGUAGUAAAACUUAAGGAUGAAUUCUACGUACCUUAUAAAUUUGAGAUGAAUUGAAUAGUUAAAUGAAGAGUUAUGAAUUUCUAAAGUUCAAGAAGAGAAAACCCUUCACAGAAAAAAUAUGUUUUGAAGGGAUUUUGUUAUAUUUUUAGUUUUAUGCAAAUUAAAGGAAUUUUGGAAGCUAAGAUAAGAUUAAUAUAAAAUUUUAAGCUAAAUUCUCUAUAUCUAGAUACCUAGUGUAUUCCCAGAUAGCAAAUUACGCCAUACGACAAUAGAUUUUUCAGUUUCAGAUUUGUAUGUUUCUAUAUUUGUAGUGGUAGAUUUUUUUAUCGAGAUGAUACAUUUUAUAUCAUAUACAAAAUCUAUAAUAAGUGAAGAAAAAACUAAGCUUUUAUUUAACAACAUCUAUUGCUAUUAUGGAUUGCCUUAAGAUAUUAUAUUAAAUAAAAGAACUUAAUUUAUAUCAAGAUUUUAGAGAUUUUUUUUUAAGAUUUUAAAUAUGGAUAUAAAGCUUUCUUUGGCUUUUCAUCUUUAGACUGAUGGACAAACAAAAUGGAUAAAUCAAGUUUUAGAGUAAUACUUGAGGUGUACUAUCAACUAUCAUCAAGAUGAUUGGAUAAUUCUUUUACCAUUGGCAGAGUUUGCAUAUAAUAAUUUAUACAUUCUUCCAUUCAACAAACAUCUUUUUUUGCCAAUUAUGAUUAUUAUCCAUGACUUGAUACUUUUGACUUUUCAAAAGUUGAUAAUCCUAUGGCAAAAGAUUUGGCAAAUUGUUUGUUAGAGCUAUAUGCAACAAUGAAGGCUCAAUUAAAAGGAGCUCAAGAACGACAAAAAAUUAACGUAUGUGCCUAUCACAAAAAAUAAUCACAAUUUAAUGUAAAUGAUAAAGUAUGGUUACUUUGUCACAAUAUCAAGACUAUUCAUCUUUGUGACAAGUUGGACUAUUGUAGGCUUUGAUUUUUUCUAUUAAUAAAUAAAUCAAUCUUGUUGCUUAUCAAUUAUAUUUGCUAGAGUCUAUGAAGAUUUAUCCUAUAUUUUACAUGUCUCUUCUUGAGCCAUAUAAGACAGUGAACAUCUUGAGAAGAAGACAAAUGUCACUUCCUAUAGAAGUGGAUAAUAAUAAAAAAACUCAAGAUAGAAGAAGUCUUAGAUUCAAGGCAAUGCUAAAAUAUGUUAGAAUAUCUUUUUCAUUAGUAUGGAUAUGAUAUUAGUAAAUGCACAUGGAAGCCAACAAAAAAUCUUACAAGUACAGCAAAGAGAAUUGAAGCUUUUCAUCUACAACAUCCAUCAAAACGAAGAUGAAGAAUAAAAAAUCUUUGCUAUAAAAAAAAAAGAUCAAAAGAAAGUAACACUCUACCUUUUAUCCUUCUUUAUAGCUUUUGUGUAUUUAUGAUGCUAAAGAGAUGGAGAACCAACAAUCAGUCGAUUCAAUUCAAGAGCUUUUAUUUGCAAACUUAUUAAAUGAGAUAUUGUAAUUUUUACAACCUUCAAGAUGAUGAAAUCGAGAUGAAGAUCCUCAAAUAUGACAUAUCUUUUCUUGAAUAGAUAGUGAGAUAUAGCAUAUUUGAUAUCACAACCUUGGAAGAGACUCUUAAUUUUUGGUGAUUUUAUUAGAAGUAGGAACAAUUCCUAAAGGAAUUUCAAAUAUUUUGUUUGAAAGAAGUUAUAAAAGCCUCAACAAUGACCAAAUAAUAGGGUGGUCUUUUUGCCCUGGUAUGGGACACUAUUGAUAGUUGAGAAGACCUAUCAACCAUCUUCAAAGGAAACAAAGAUAAAAGUAUGUGAAAAAAAAAAUUUGUUGCAUCUUAGAUUUUUUCAACAUUUGAAGACUGCUUCUUAUGGAAUUCAUCCCUAAAAGGAGAAAUAAUGUCAUAGAUAUAUAUAGGUAUUCUAAUAAAUAUCUAUAUGAUUAGAUAAAAGUAAAUAAAAAUAAAUAAAAAUAAUUUAAUUUUAUAAUACCUUCUUGAAAAGCUUCCUAGAAGCUUUAUAGAUAUUACUUUGAUUUUAUAUGUAUUUGUAGUUAAUUGGUAGGUUAGAAAUUAGAUCAACAAGUUAACCACAUGUUGGUAGCUUGCAAAACAAUCUAAUUAUGUGGUGCACAUAUAAAAAACUUGCCUUACAAGUUAAGGUAUGUAUUUUUUAAAGUCAACAUAUUUUGGACAUCUUAUAGGACAUUGCUACAUUGGUCUUAAUUAAGAGUAUAUAUGGAGGCAAGAGUGAAGCCUUCUUCACUCUUGUUAAUGCCUUUUUAAUCUUUAGUCUUGUUUCAAGACUUUCUAGUCUUUUUAUUUUUGACAAUAGUCAUUUUAGUUCAAUACCAUAUUAUCUUUGAGUGACUUUUUAGUUCUUUUUAGUAUUACAAGAGUGUAUUAAGGAUUUCUUUCUUUAAAAUUCAUAUUCUUAACAGUUAUAGAUUAUUCACCUUUAAACAAAUAGUUUAGUUUUUUAACAUUGAUUUUUUGUUUAAAAAAAGUAAACUAUCCCUCUUUGUAGAAAUUCUUAUUUGAUAUUCGAAUUUAUACUUUAUUUUCUAUUAAUUUAAUAUUUUGAAUUUAUUUGAAUUAUCUAUGAAAGAAAAGAUUAUUAAUAUUAUUUUUGAUAGAAGUGAAAUUAGAUUUAUAACUAUUGUAAAUUUUCAUACAUUUUUCAACCUUCUAAGAAUAAAAAUCUUAUAUAUUUCUAAUAUGAAUUAUGGAGAUACUAUUCUUAUACAUCUAAAAAAAAGUUCACAGUCUAUGCCAUAAAUUUGUAUAAUUAAAAGAAGUAAGUAGAUCAGCCUCACAACCAAAUUUAGAAAGUCUUAUUUCUACAAGUACAAGAGAAGCAAGAAUUAGUAUGCCUAAGAAGUUUGAUGGAACAAGAUUAAAAUUUUGAGGAUUUUUGCAACAAGUUAAGCUCUAUUAAAGAUUGUAUUCUUUCCAAUAUUCUAAUAGAUUUAUUCAAGUUGAAUUCAUAAGCACACUUCUAUCAAAAAGUGUUUUUUUUUUAAUUUUCAUAUUUGAUGGAAAAAGAUUCACAACUAUUCUAUGAUUUGGAUUUAUUCUUAAAAAUAUUUAUAGCUAUAUUUGAAAAAAGUGAUUAAGAAAGAAUAGCAGAAACCAAGCUCAUAUUGCUACAACAAGAACCACAUUAAACUACUACAUAUGCCACUAAAUUCUAAAAUAUUGCUUGCAAUGUGGAUUAAAAUAACAAAGUCUUUAUCAAUCAAUUUUAAUAUGGAUUAAAAGAUAAUGUCAAAGAUUUAUUAUUGAUAAUUUCAAGAGUUAAUUGUUGCAUACAAGUUAAGCCAUAAUAACACCUUCUAAGUUUUUAAAAGCUUACUUAUUUAGGCUAGAGCCUAUUCAAAUUAACUUGGUACGUUUUAAAUUUUUUAUUGAGCAAAAAAAGACUCAUUGUCAAAAAGAUUUAUGCCUAUAUUGUAGAAAAUCCAAGCAUAUUGCUCAACAUUAUCCAAAGAAGCAACAUAAUUAUAAAAUGAAAAGAAUGGUUGUUAAAGCAAAUGAUGUAUUAAAAAAAUAAUUUUUUCAACUAUAAUAGGGACUAUACGGCUAAAAUCUUAUAUAAUACUUGAUAAAGGUCUUAUUUUUUCUUCAAAUCCUUCAACUUAUUUCACAAUAGAAGUUUAUUUAGGAUCAAAAAAUCACAAAGUCUUAACCUUAUUAGAUUCAAAAGCCUUAGCCUAUUUUAUGGAUUUUUUUUUUUUUUAAAAAAAAUAAGAGAUAUUAUUAGUCAAAAAAACUAAAUCCAUAUAUAUAGAAGUCAUAGAUGGUUGUUUGUUGUCUUUUGAAGAUAUUAUUGAUGAGAUUAUUUUUUAAAUAUAGUAAUUAAAGAUCAUAAUAGCGUAAUAAUAUUUAAUGUCAUAAGAUCUCCAUUCAAACUAAUUAUUUUAAAAUUAUUGUAGUUAAAAAAGUAUAAUCCUUGGAUAGAUUGGACUUUUUGUUAUUGAAUUAUGUGAAGUCUUGCUUGAGAAUGCAUCAAGUAUCUAGCUAUAGAAGAUAAAAGAAAAUUAUAACAAUAAGUCUUAAAAACUCUAAUAGAAUCAUAUAUAAAUUGUAAUUAAAGCUUAACAAAGAUAAUUAAACAUUGAUAAAGUUAAAUUGAAAUUUUAAAUAAAUUAUAAAAGAAAUAUAAAAAAAUCCUAAAAAAAUCUUAAUUAAAUCUUAAUAAAAUCUUUAAAAAAUCCUAAUUAAGCCUGAAAAAAAUCCUAAUCAAAAUUUAGUCAAAUCCUAGAUAAAUCCUAGAUAAAUCCUAGUUAAGCCUUAGACAAAUCCUAAUCAAACUUUAGAAAAAUCUUAAUCAAAUUUUAGACAAAUUUUAGACAAAUCUUAGUCAAAUCCUAAAUAAAUUCUAAUCAAAUCCUAUAAAAAUCUUAAUCAAAUCCAAGAAAUAUCCUAAAAAAAUUCUAAUCAAAUCCUAAAUAAAUAUUAGAAAAAUUCUAAUUAAAUCUUAAACAAAUUCUAAUCAAAUUCUAUAGUAGAUUGAAACCUCUAUAAAUAAAAAUUAAAAAAUUAAUUUUAACUCAAAUUUUGCAUAUCUCUCAAUAACUAAGCUGAUAAUAAGGACAAAUUAUUUUAAGAAAAUCGAAUUUACCAAAUAGAAGACAAAUCCUAAAAUCUGCUUAGAUAUUAGUUAGCCUUCUUCUUCAAUCUUGAUGCUAAUCUUUCAAAGCCAAAAUCUCUUAAUUCCACCAUUAAAUACCUCUCAAAUUUCACAUAUAUAUUAAAAAUCAAGUCUAUUACUUAUAUAUAUAAAUUUUAUUUCAAUCCAACUAGUAGAUUGCUAAAUAUCUUAGAAAUCCUCACUAACCUUCAAAACUUUAUUUUUGAGAUCUUAAUCCACUUGAACUUCAAUAACGUUUAAUCUAACUGUUGGCAUGAUGUAAUAAGGAUAAUGAAUGAAAGAAAAAAAAUAUAUUCUAGAAUAUCUCAUUUUAAAAUAUUAUAGCAAAUUAUCUUUAAAAUAUAGAUAAUAGUCAAAAAGAUAGUAAACAAAAAACUUUUAAUGCUUCUUUUUUACAAAAUAGACUUCUAUUUACUUUGUAGGACCAUAAAUAAUCCAAAAAAAAGUAGAUUGAAAAAUUAAUUAAUAUAAGCAUAUGUAGGAAGGAUUUAAGAGAAUAUUUUAGUAAAAUUUACCUCAAGAAGCCAAGAAUCGAUACCCAAAGAGGACCACUUGUCAAUUUGGAUUGAAAUCAAAUCUUAAGGCAUAAAAUCAUGCAUCUAUGGCAACUCAAGAGUUCUUUCGUAGAUUGGAGAGUAGAAAUUGACAAAAAACUUGCAAAGAGAUUUUUAGGCAUUAGCUUUAUAUCAAUUGAUUUAAUAUUCAAUUUCACAAGGAUUUUUAAAGUUAAUAAUAUUCUUGAUUGGUUUAGAUUUUAAUACAUAAAACUAUGUUUAAAUAUUUGAAAGUUUCUUGAGUUUUGUGGUAUGUAUAUAAGUAAAUUUUGAAUAGAAUUUUGAUGGAAUAGUUAUAAAUUUAUUUGCAAAUUUUGAGAUCAAUCAAAAUAAUAGAUCAAAGUGUGUAAAGGUUUUUGUGGGUUGAGGUCUCAAAAAUUGGAAUUUGAAGGUCAAUGAAUAUUUCUAAGAUUUCUAGAAAUUUGCUAAUUGGAUUGAAGUGAAACUUAUGUAUAUGAGUAGUAGACUUAUUUUUCUAUAUGUAUGUGAAUUUUGAGAUCAAUUAAACGAUGUAAAAUAGGAAUAUUAGUACUAGAAGAUCAACAUCUAGGUUGGAAAAGGAGGCCAGAUAAUACCAAAGAAAAUUUUAGGAUUUUUCUUUCAUUUGGUAAGUAAAAUUAUCUUCAAAUUUUUUAUAAUUUUUUUUAUCUAAGAAGUUGAGAGGUUUGUAAAUUUUUAAGUAAGAUCAAUAAUUUAAUCAAUAGAUAUUGGGAUUCUAAUCUAUCUUAGGAUUAAUUUGAAUUGAUUAGAUUUUGGUUAGGAUUUGAUUUAUGAUUUAGGAUUUCUCUAAGAUUUGGUUUAAGAUUUAGGAUUUGUUUAGAGCUUAGGAUUUUUCUAGGAUUUAUUGUAGGAUUUAGGAUUUGUCUAAUAUUUGAUUUAGGAUUUAAAAUUUAUCUAAGAUUCAAUUUAGGAUUUAGGAUUUAGUUAGGAUUUGAUCUAAGAUUUUGUUAAGAUCCAUUAGGUUUUUAAUUGAGAUUAAAAUAGAAUUUAAUUAGAAUUUAUUUAAUAUUUAUUUAAUAUUUCUUUAAGAUUUCUUAUAAAUUUCUUUUGGAUUUCUUUAAAAAAAAUUUAAAAUCUAUUUAUUAUUUCUUAAUGAUUUCUUUAUGUUUUUUUUGUAAUUUAUUUAAUAUUUAUUUUAGAUUUGAUUAAAUCUUGAUUGACAUUAUUAAUAUUUAAUUGGAGUUUUUUUAGGAUUCUAUUAGAAUUGUUAACAUCUUGUUGUUGCAAUUUCUCUUCUACCUUCUAUAGCCAAGUAUCCGAUACAUUCUCAAGUAAGACUUUAUGUAAUAUGACACCAUUUGAUCAUACUCAAACUUACAACAUGUAAUAAAGAUAAGUAUUAUCACAAAUCUAUAACUUAUCAUCUAUAGAUCUACUAUCAAACUUACAGAAUUCUUUCAAAUUUAAAUUAUUUUUUUAUUUUACAAAAAAAAAAUUACCAAAAAUAACCUUGAUUUUGCAAAGCUCUCAUAAAGUUAUUUCAAAUUAAAAUUAUCCAAAUUCAAUACUCAAAAAAAUCCUAUGAAUUCUCCCCUCAAAUCCCACUCUUUGAUUUGUAAAAAAAAAUCCUAAGUUGCCAUAGGUGCCCAAUUUUGUGUCUUGGAAUAUGAUUUCGACCUUCAUUGACAAUCAAGCUUUUUUAGAUAUCAAUUCUUAUUUUCUUAAGGUAAUUUUUACUAGAAUCAACUCCUAACUUCCUUGUAUAUAUGUAGAAUAGAUAUUAGUUUGUUUCUAUAAGAUAUUGGUAAAAUAGACUAAUAGUCCAUAGAAUAUUCAGUUCAGGAGGACGGAUGAUUGAUUUAGUUAUUAAAAGCGGUUAAUUACAGGAUUACGAUUAGAAUCUAGAAAUUAAGAGGAAUUAUAUAGGAGUUGUAGAAGUUUAUUGGGGGGCCAGAUUGUGAUAGUCAUGAGCUAGGGUAAGCUUGGUGUUACCUCUUUGUUUCUUUGUUUUCUUUCUUGUUGAAGAGUAAUGGAUAGUUUUUGAAUACUGAGAAGUGAGUUUGUGGAAUAAAUCAAAGAUUGAUUUAUGAGUUAUUGAUUAUGUAAUUGGAGUAUUAAGUGAUUGAAUUAUAUGAGGAGUUAUUGAAAGAUUAUGAUUGUUGUUUAUUGAGAGUUAUGUGUGUUUGGACAAAAGAAGUUGGUGAUUACAAAAACUCUAUGAAUUCAGAUUGGUUGGAGUGAAAUCUGUUAUUCCUAGUAUUGGAUGGAAAUUAUUAUGUUUUAAGUGGUCUUUCGAGACUGCAAGGUUACACACUCUUGUUAUCAGUUGAUGAAGGAGUAUUAUUACUGGGAGAAAAUAUUGUAAUGUUUCUUAGUAUUUUAGUGGUUUGAAAUGCAGUUAAUUGUGUGACCCUAAUAAGUAAAACUUAUGCACUUAGUCUUUCCCUAUGUUUGAAUUCCCUUAUACAAAUUUAUUCUGAAAGGAAUUGUAGAAUAAAUAAAACGAUAAUCAGUGGAUAUCCACGUAGUUAUCCACGGAUAUUAGAAAUAGUGGCCAAUUCCAAUGCCAAUAUUCACGGGCCAAUUAAUGUCACUUCAUUGCAAGUCAUAUCACCGAACGUGACAACAGCGUAUGUUCCAUAUUUUUCGUAUCAACAAUAAGUAUUAACUUCGAUAGAGUUACUAUUAAUACCAGCCCAAAAAGAUUUCAAUGAAACCUUAUUAUUGAAUCUGACGAAGAAAAUGGAAGAAAUGGUCGUUAAUAUGGCCUAAGAUAAGGAGAAGAGGCACAAGCCUACUAAUACUAGGACCAAUGUAUGGUGCAGUAAUUGUAAGGGUCAUGGUCAUUUGGUAACAGAAUGCCCUUCAUCCUCACAAAUGAUGGGUCAAUGUACAUUUUGCAAAGGAAAGCAUUUCACAGUUAAUUAUUGGAAUUGGCAAAGGCAACAAUAAUUCAGUAAUCAAACCAUAAUCCCACCAACUCACUUGGACGUCAAUAAAGUUCAAACAAAAAAUACAUUUGGAUGGAAUGGAAAUCGAUCUAAUCGACAAAAUUGAGCAUUCCAUAACUUUCAAAGUUCCAAUUUUAAUCAAGGGUCUACAUCAAACUCUCAAACCUAUGGGAAGGAGCAUCAGAGAUAUUAGCAAUAUGCUCGACCGCAUCAUCGAACCAAGUAUCCUUCAUACCAACGGGACAACCAAGAUCAUUUUCUAAUCCUACACGAAUAAGCCUAGUAGGUAUAUACCGAUGGAGACACUCAAUAUGCCUGAUGGGGGUGUAAGAAGACCACUUCAUUGUUUUCGUUGCAGACAGAUUGGUCAUUAUGCUAAUAAAUGUUCCAAUCCCAGAGCCAGUGACGAUUAGAGCAAGUCUAUGGGAAUUGCAAGCAGUUGGGACAUACUUAUCAGCAAUGUAAUGCUUCAUUCAAUUUCAAUAAUUGGGAUCUGCAGAUCCAAAACUAAAGAAAAAUAGAGGAGAUAAAUUAAGGUCCUCAAGAUUCUCCGAUAAAUUAGGUGGAAUGUGUCCAAGCCAUUUUUACUAGGAGUCAGCAAAAAAAAAAAGGAUCAAUUCAAUAUUUGGGUGAACUUGAUGUGAAGGGCCAAUUUGACCCAAUUAUAGAAACAUCCAAUCUAGAUCCUAUUAUGGGCCUCUUAUCUAGUAUGAGACCUGACUUGGUUGGACAACCCAAUGAGGUCCUGAUUAUGGAGGCUUCGAUUCCAUUUCAAGCUAUUUCGUUCUCUAUGUAAUUUCAAAAAACGUCCUAUCUGUUGAAAGAUCCUCUCAAGGGUGCAAAUUCCAAAGAAGCUCUGGCUAUUGUUCCAAUUCCAAGUCUAGGAUGGAAGAAUAUCUUACCUCUCGGAGUUAAACUCAACCCAAUGAAAAGAAAGGGGGUAUUGGAAAUUACCUUAAAUAUGGAACCUUGUAGAAUAAGUAGUUAUUUGCUGAAUUGUAGAUACUUAGUUUAUAGUGUAAACAGGGAUAGAUGACUGUUGAAAAGAUAGUUCAGUAGGUAAAAUGGAUGAAUAGUUAAGAAAAGCAGUUUUCAUUAGAGAUGUAGCAGUUGGUAUCUCGUGGUAGCAUAAGGAGGAUGGGAGAGAGGAAGUAAGGGCCAGACUGUGAUAGUAUGAGCUGGGAUAAGCUUAGUGCUGUCUCUUGUUUUUUUGUUUUGUUGUUUAAAGUUCUGAAUACUGUGAAAAGAAUUCAUGGAAUAAAUCAGGGAAAUGAUUUAUGAGAUAUUGGAUGUGUAACUGAAGUAUUGUGUGAUUGAAGGAGAGAAAUUUGGAAGUUGUUAUCAGAUUCUAUGAAGAUUGGUUAUAACUGGAAGAUUAUGAUCGUGGUUAAUUGAAAAUUGUGUGUAUUCGGACCAAGGAAAUCUGGGAAAACAGAAAUUAUGUAAAGUCAGAUUAAUUGAGUAAGAUUGGUUAUUCCUAGUGUUGGAUGGAAUUUAUGUGUUUUGUGUGGACUUUUGAAACAGUGCAAAUUGCAUUUAGUGGUUAUCAGUUAAUGAAAGGAUUUCAUUAGCAGGAAAAAGUCUUGUAGUGUUUCUUCGCUGUUUUAAGUAGUGCGGAAUACAGUUAAUUGUGUGACCCUAAUGUGUAAGCUCAUGCGGUAUUCUUUCCCUGUCUUCGAAUUCUCCUAUACAGGUUUACUCUGAUUAGAUUAGUUAGAGUAAGUAAAACGACAAUUACAUUUUGGCGCCACUGCCGGGGAAAUUGAUAAUAGCAUGGAGUGUUAGGUAUUAACUGCCGGUUGAAGUAGAUGGGAAAUAGGUAGUAGUCGCAGAAGAAUAUAAUGAAAGAGUAUGGUUAUUAAGAAUGAGAACUUAAUAGUAAAGAAAAUACGCCAGUCAAGAGAAAGAAUAGAGAGAUCGCAAGCAAGAAAUUUGUUGCGAAACAAGCAACAAAGAAAGUUAAAAAGGAAUCAUAGACAAAGCUGGAUUAAGCCAUGGUUGCAUGCCUGUCGUCAUAUUCGAGCAUACCCAGAAGCUAAUCGACAUCUAAUAUUUCAGAAGUAUAUACCGUUAGAAAAAUUGCCAAGAGCACUUGUGGAAAAUUUGGUCAAUAGGCCAGGGUUUCUUCUGAGACCGUUAACUAAGAGUGGGAGAAUCACAGAAGAGUUGGGUACUCCAUUGGGUACGUUUCAAUAGCGAAAACUACCAAUUCCGUCAAAACUGGUUCCAUAGAGUGGCAUAAAUUAUUGGUCAAUAAGGGCCAAUUGAGUGUGUUGUAAAAUCCGUCAUUCUCACCUCCUAUUCAACCAAUAAACUUGUUCAAGGAUAAUAAUAGCAAAUUGAGCAGGGUAGAAAGUUUAGAAAAUAUAUUUGGGAGAGACGCAGACUAUAUUAACAAACGAUUAAGUAUCACAUUGUCAAAUUCAAUGACGAAGGGAGGUCCAGCGGUUCCCAUAGCAGUACAAAUGGGUACUUUGAGUGAUCGCACAACUAGCGUGGCUCCAUUACCUACUUUUAGGGACUUUCCAGGUGUGGAUCCAGAUCAACAUUUGUCGCAGUUUUUGACAGCAUGUGUCGCCAAUAAUGGAAGAACCAAGGAUAUUUGGUUACGAUGGUUGCCAGCAACCUUAAAGGAUACGGCAUUUGAAUGGUAUAAUCGUCAACCAGUUGAUCAAUUUUCGAACUGGGAAUCAUUGAAGAAUGCAUUUUUGACCCAUUUUUGACCAAUUGGUUUUGAAGACCGUCUUCGAAGAAGGUUAAUGAACAGCAAAAUGAUCCUAGGAGAGGCGGUGGAAUCGUACUAUGGCCGAGUGGCUGAUACACUUAAUAAGUGGCUGAACCACUAAAUACCGGAGGUAUUUAUAUUAUCUAUAUUAAUAAAUGAUUUUCACCCACCAGAGCUAAAAAUGUUUAUGAAAGAAGCUCAACCAGUUAUGGUAUCUGCAUCCCUUGAUAGAGCCAAGGUUUGAGAAGAAUGCCAUUAUGAUCAGUUUUUAACUGCGAGUGCCACGAUGAUACCAGUUCAAAGCAAUUAUCAAUAUCCGGCUUUGAACGGAUCAGUGGAUAGUUAUCUACAGAUGAUCAAAAUAGUAGCCCAUUCAAGUGCCAAUACUCAAGGGCCAGUUAAUAUUACCCCAUUGCAAGCUUUACCACCGCAAUUCACAACAGCGUAUGCUCUAUAUUUUCCAUAUCAAACACAAGAGUCAACUUUGGCAGAAAAACAAAUAAUAUCAACUUCAAAAGAUUCCAAUGAAGCCUUGUUAUUGAACUUGAUGAAGAAAAUGGACGAAAUGGCCGUUAAUAUGGCCAAAGAUAAGGAGAAGAGGCAAAAGCCAACCAAUACUAGGACCAAUGUAUGGUAUAGUAAUUGUCAGGGCCACGGUCAUUUGGUAACAGAAUGUCCGUCACCUUCACAAGUGUUGGAUAAAUGUACAUUUUGUGGAGGCAAGCACUUAACCACUAAUUAUUGGAAUUUGCAAAGACAACAACAAUUCAGUAAUCCGACCAUGAUUCCACCAAUUCCAUGGGAUGUCAAUCAAGUUCAAACAGGAAAUACGUUUGGAUGGCAUGGAAAUCGAUCUAACUGACAAAAUCGAGCAGUCAAUCAUUUUCAGAAUUCCACUUAUAAUCAGGGGUUUGUAUCAAAUCCUCAGAACUAUGGUAAGGAGCAGCAUGGGUAUCAGCCAUAUGCUCCAUCAAUGCCAUUGAACCAAGUACAACCGGGACAACCAGGAUCAUUUUUUCAACCUACAUGGAACAAACCUAGUAGGUAUAUACCAGUGGAGACACCCAAUAUGCAUGAUGGGGGUGCAAAAAGGCCAUUGCGUUGUUUUCGUUGUAGACAGAUUGGUCAUUAUGCCAAUGAAUGUCCCAAUGCAAGAGCCAGUGACGAUUAUGUGUCAGUUUGUGGGAAUUGCAAGCAGUCAGGGCAUACGUAUCAGCAAUGUAAUGCUCCAUUCAAUUUCAAUAAUCGGGAUCAACAGAUCCAGAGUCCAAGAAAAAUGGAUGGGAUAAAUCGAGGUCCUCAAGACUCUCCAGUAAAUUGGGUGGAAUGUGUCCAUACCGUUCUUACUAGGAGUCAGCAAAAAGAGAAGGGCCAAUCACAUCCAAUUACGGAUCCAUCCCAUUCAAGUCCUGACAUUGAAAAAGUCUUGAGCCCUGAUUUGGUUGCAAAGCCCAAUGAGGUCCCAAUUACGGAGUCUUCAAUUUUGUCUCAAGCCAGUCUGUUCCCAUCGCAAUUCUAACAAGCAUCAUAUCCGUUGAAAGAUCCCCUUCAGAAAGGUAGUCCCAAGGAAGCUCAAGCUGUUGUUUCAACUCCAAGUCCAGGGCGGCAGAAUAAUUUACCUCACGGAGUUAAACUCAAACCCAUGAAACGGAAGAGGGCAUUGAAAAUUAUCCUAAAUAUGGAAUCCUACAAUAUUUUAAAGGAUUUGGACGCUAUUCGGCCUUCAAUUUCUAUAAAGCAACUUCUAGCAGUCGCACCAGAGUAUAGUUCCACCUUGAAUUCAUCCCUAAUAAGUCAUCGGCAUCGUAAUAUGGAAGUUUGUGAAGUUAGUUUAAACCUUGAUCUAGGUACACCAACCAUUGAUGUUUCGAUUGAUGGUGUUCUUAUCUCUGGCGUCCAGGUAGAUGGAGGUUCUAGCGUCAAUUUAAUGAACGAUGAUACAAUGGAUGCUUUAGAUUUGGAACAAUUAGUCCCCACGACAUUGGUAUUACGGAUGGCAGAUCAUAGCCGAGUUAAGCCAAUGGGUAUUUUACGGAGUGUUCAAACUAUAAUUGCAGGUAUUACAUAUGAAAUUGACUACAUUGUCUUUCGCUUACAAUGUUCAACUUUAUUGUACCCUAUUUUAUUGGGACGACCUUGGCUGUAUCAAGCAAAGGCCAAGAACGAUUGGGGUUGGGGUACUUUGACAAUUGGUAAGGGUGUAGAUAAAAUGGUGUUACAAAUGUACCCAGUACGCUAUCACGGGGAGUCUCAGUUGCCAGUAUCUGAAUUGACGUUGGACGAAGAGCUUAGCUCCGAGGAUGACACAGAAGUACCGAGUACGGAGGCCAAUGUGGAGGCAGCACAGCACCCUAAGGUGGUGUAUCAAUGUGGAGGUCCAGGGGAGUAGUUGAUAUACCCGAAGGAUUCGGAAAACUCUGCUUAUAUUAGUAUUGACUGGAAACCUUGGCAUGAUGUGCACCAUGUUAGUGCCCUCUAGACGGGAUUUGUUACUUCGCAUAUGUCAGACAUACCAAAUAACUUUAAAUCACUGCAGGAAUUGAAACAGAGUAUUGUUGCUAAACCUGUAUGUCAAACUACUAACUUAGCGACCACGACCAAACCUCGGCUAAUUAAGGUCUACGAAGGUAUUAAGGAACAAGAGUUGACUUGUUGGACAGACUUUUUCUUACAUCAUAAAUCUGCUUUUGCUUGGACUUAUGAUGAUCUACAAGGUAUCCCUGCUGAUGUCUGUGAACAUCGUAUCAUAUUGGAAGAAAACGCUAAACCGGUAUGCUAGAGGCAACAUCGCCUUAAUUCUAAAUAUUUUCUUAUGGUGUAAGAAGAAUUGGACAAGCUUCUUGCGAUGGGUUUCAUUUACCCAGUACCAAAUAGUGAGUGGAUUUCUCCAAUUGUGAUGGUGCCGAAAAAGAAUGAAAAAAUUUAAAUUUGUCAAGAUUUCUGGAAACUUAAUGCAGCCACCAAGAAAGAUUACUUUCCGUUACCAUUCAUGGAUAGUAUAUUGGACGCCGUCGCCAGUCACGAAUGCUAAUCGUUUCUCGAUGGUUUCUCCAGGUAUAAUCAAGUUCAAAUUGCAAAAGAAGACCAGCUCAAGACAACCUUUACUAUGGAUUGGAGCACAUUUGCUUAUCGCGUGAUGCCUUUUGGGUUAUGUAACGCCCCAGCCACGUUCCAACGCGUGAUGACUCAGGCUUUUCAAGACUAUCUCUGGAUAUUUAUGGAGAUCUUUUUAGAUGACUUUUAUACAUUUAGUACUAAACAAGAUCAUCUUCAUUGUUUAGGCAAAUGUUUGGCUCAGUGUGCCAAAUUUGGAAUAUCGUUAAAUCCGCAGAAGUGCCAAUUUGGUGUUCUGUCCGGAAAAUUAUUGGGCCAUAUUUUUUCCAGUUGUGGUAUUGCUACGGAUCCUGACAAAGUGCAGCAUAUCAUGAACUUGCCCAGAUCGGAGACAGUCUCCGGUGUUCGAGGGUUUGUUGGCCAUGUCAGUUAUUAUCGACGAUUUAUAAGUUCGUUUGCGAUUAUUUGUCAAGCUUUAACAAACUUACUGAAGAAACCUCUCUCCGAUGGUACUAGUCCCCUCUGGACCAAGGAGUGUACCAUAGCCUUCAAGGUCUUGAAGUCAAAAUUGGUCUCUGCACGAAUAUUGGUGGCUCCUUGUUGGACAAAGUCAUUUCAUGUAUAUGUUGAUGCAUCCAAUGCUGCUAUUGGCUCGGUGUUAAGCCAGAAUGAUGAUAAGGGAUUAGAUCAUCCCAUAUACUAUGUCAGUCGAUAAUUAGUGGCUGUCGAACGCAACUAUACUACUACUGAACGAGAGGCGUUGGAUAUGAUAUACUCGGUUCAAAAAUUUCGGUACUAUUUGCUUAGGUAUCUAUUUGUAUUUUAUGUGGAUCAUGAUGCUCUCAAAUAUCUGAUUAAUAAGCCUCAAUUGAGUGGGUACAUUGCUCACUGGAUCUUACUCCUCCAGGAGUUCAAUUUUACGGUGGUUGUCAGACUAGGGAAGCAACAUGCGAACGCGGAUCAUUUAUCCCGGUUGUCUGAUAUUCUCGAUAACGAGCCUGUUUCCGAUGAUCUUCCCAACGCUGCAUUAUUUGUGGUGGAUGUGAUAUCCCCCGAGUAUAGCGAAAUUAUUCAGUUUCUGACCUUCUAUACUUUUCCACCGACUUUCACGGACAAGCUUAAGAAGCGCCUUAUUCUGAAGAGUGCCCCAUACACGAUGAUUCGUGAUGCUUUGUAUAAACAAGGCCGAGAUGGUCUUUUACGGUGCUGUAUCUUUCCAAGUGAAGUACAGUCGAUACUUACCGGUUGUCAUUUGGAUAGUUGUGGUGGUCAUUUCGCGGGCGACAGCAUUGCUCGCAAGGCUUUAAUGGCUGGAUAUUGGUGGCCUACAAUGUUUUCUGAUGCCCACUAGUUCAUUCGUCGUUGUGAUCCUUGUCAACGAAUUGGUCGACCUACGGGUAUUUCCGCCAUGCCAUUAGUACUAAUCUUGGCCCAGGUCCUGUUUGAAAAAUGGGAUAUUGAUUUUGUUGGUCCCAUUGCACCUGCGUCAAAACCUGGUCAAAAGUGGUAUAUCUUAGUGGCCACAGAUUAUGUCACCAAAUAGACAGAGGCGAUUGCUACUCGCACCGAUAAUGCCAGUACGGUGGCAACUUUUCUGUAUGAGAAUAUUAUCACUCGCUUUGGGUGUCCCAAGGAAUUGGUCAGCGAUCGAGGCACCCAUUUCAUCAAUGCUACCAUCGCCGCCUUAAUGACCACAUAUGAGAUCAAGCAUCGUAAGACCACUCCCUAUCAUCCUCGUGCCAAUGGACAAACGGAAAAGACCAACGGCAUUUUGUGCAAAGUCUUGAUUAAGACAAUUUCAAGGGCCGGUACUGAUUGGGAGACCAAACUCUUUGCAGCUUUGUGGGCUUAUCGUACCGCCUAUAAAGUAACUACCCACUCUACUCUGUUCUAAUUAGUUUACGGUCAAGAGGCAAUUUUACCUAUCGAAUUGGAGGUUCCCAGUUUACGUAUUACCUUAGACGAACGCCUCAGUGACACCGAGUCAUUACACUCUCGGUUGAUGAAAUUGGAGGAAUUGGAUGAAAUACGGGUUGUCGCUCUAUUCCACAUAGAAGCCACUCAAAAACGGAGGAAGAGUUACUAUGAUAGUAAACUACGGCCAAAGUGUUUUAUGCCUAAUGAUUUGAUAUUGCUGUAUGACAGCCGAUUCAAUCAUUUUUUAGGAAAAUUUCAAGUUUGCUGGCAUGGGCCAUAUCGCGUAAUUGAAGGAUUUUCCAAUGGGUCUGUUCAAUUGGAGGAUUUCACGGGCCAUCGUUUCAGUACCUGCAUUAAUGGGAAUCGUUUACGGUUAUAUAAUACCUAAAACUCGGGACGGGUUUUAUUUCAUUUGAUGGGAGGGAAUUUCGAAUGGACUCAGGAGGGACCUAAUUAUGGUAUAAGGCGUAGAGGCGGCUGCAAGGAUAUUUAGUUAUUACUAUUGUGUCAGAUGCGAAGAAAGUGAGAAAUGGAUAGUAUGGGUACCAUGUUGUCGUUCUCAUCACUAGGUAAUAGAAUAGGAGUAGGGCUCCUAUUAAGGAUUAUUCUGUGGUGUUAUAUUCUGUUGUUGCUUAUUUGUGUUUCAUUUUAGUGUUUCGGACAUACUGGAGAGUCGCAUUGACGGUUAGGACCUGUAAGCGUUUGAGUCAUGGCGAUUGAAAGUACCAAGAGAGCUGUAGACAGAGAUGAAAGUGGCCGGAAUGUGAGAGCUAAACGCAUAGCAAAACCACUGGCUGUGAUAAUCGUUACCAAUAUGGAGCUGAUGAAGUUAGAAAUCUGUUGGACGUAGAGAAAAAUAAGGGAUUUUUGGACUGCAAAGCUGUUCCAGUUUUUUCAAAAUUCAAAGCGUUUAUCAUCAAUUAAUGUGUCAUUAAUGUAGGAAUACAUUGAGAAUUACGACCUCGAGGAUGGAUCGAGUGUCAUUCAAGGGCGAAUUAUCGGGAUUGAUGAAACAAUUCUGGAAAAGGUGUUGUUUCUUCCCAUUGGAGAGAUGGCAGUAGGGACUGAUGAGUCAAGCGAUUUCAGCCCAGAUAGAUAUUUCAAGGGAGGAAUGUCAUCCUUUGAAAGGAGCCAAGGAUGGUGGACUUAGGAGGCGAUUACACCAGAAUAUGUGGAAUGGUUGCGGUUCGUGCUGAGGCGGUUAAGAUUGUACCGACACCCCACAUAUGUGUCAAAACGAUUAUUGUAUGCAGCAGUAGGGGCGUUUGAAGGCAUGGUGUUCAAUUGGACGGCUUACGUAGCUACUCGUAUUCAUGCGGAGAUAGGAGCCAAGUUCAAAUUGGGGAAGUUCACAUCCUUGCUUUGUUCAAAUUAUGUGUAUGUUGUCAUCACGCACACAUUGCGUCAACCAACGUCAGAAGAGAAAAACCCUAUAUCAGUGUCAGCACCUUUGCAGAGAGAACGAAAUUUGUUGGCACAGAAUCACAAUGCAGCGGAUGUAAUAUACGAAAUUGGAGAAUCAAGUCGUACAGUGGUUCAAGGGGUAGCUCCGGUUAUCAAAGCAAGACGGGUUCCAAGUGGUGUUGCGGUGGAAGAGGAGAAUCAAGUCCCAUUAUUGAUAGAUAUCAACCAGUUGGUGUUUCCAGAAGGUUGAUUACCUAAAGGAGUAUCUCUUAAAAAUGUUGUAUUGAAGCACAUUUCGCAAAUAUAUUGUAUGGUACGAGCAUUGGAUGUAGAAGACAGAAGUAAACGGGAUUGGGAGGACAGUAAAAAAAGGAUAUCGGAUCAAAAUCGAAAAAUUAGAGAGCAAAAACUGAGGAUUCAAGAAAUUGAAGAAGCCAAGUUGGUCCUGGAGUGGAAAUUGGUUCUCCAAUAUGAGGCUUGGAUAAAGGAAAAAGAACAGAUUUCACGGAUUGUGGAAGGACAAUGGGAUGAAUUGAUUCAGAAUAGGAAGUCAUGGGAUUUGGAACGGGAGAAGUUCAAAUGCCAGUUGCAAGCGGAAGUGGACAAGACAGAGUUAUUGGGGACAGAGAAAGCGUUAUUGUGUGACCAAUUGAGAUGUGAAACGGAAAAAAUGAGGUCUGAAAUUGAAGUUUUAUAAAAUGAGGUAUCAAAACUGACGGAAGAGUUAACUAUGAGGAGCCAAUCUCAAGUGUCGAUUGAAGAUGUCCUAAAAGGGAUGAGUCCGCAGCAACAUCAGUUGGAACUUCGCUAUUCCCAGAUCUUGAAACUGGAAGCUCAAGUCCGUGAAUUGGGAGAAUACAAUGAAGAUCUUUCAGCCUAGUUGAGAAAGGAGUCGCUUGAAAUAUUAGAAGAGGAUGAAGACGUACCACUAGAGCCAGAAUCGAUGGAACCAAUAACGGAUAAUGUAGUAAUUGAUCAAUUGGGUGUAUCAGAUAAAUAGAAAUUUUGGAGAAGUUUUUUUUAGUUAUAUAUCGGUUCUAUGUUUGUGAGGACGCUGCACAUAUGGGAGUGGGGCUAUGUAGAAUAAGUAGUUAUUUGCUGAAUUAUAGAUACUUAGUUUAUAGUGUAAACAGGGAUAGAUGACUGUUGAAAAGAUAGUUCAGUAGGUAAAAUGGAUGAAUAGUUAAGAAAAGCAGUUUUCAUUAGAGAUGUAGCAGUUGGUAUCUUGUGGUAGCAUAAGGAGGAUGGGAGAGAGGAAGUAAGGGCCAGACUGUGAUAGUAUGAGCUGGGAUAAGCUUAGUGUUGUCUCUUGUUUUUUUGUUUUGUUGUUUAAAGUUCUGAAUACUGUGAAAAGAAUUCAUGGAAUAAAUCAGGGAAAUGAUUUAUGAGAUAUUGGGUGUGUAACUGAAGUAUUGUGUGAUUGAAGGAGAGAAAUUUGGAAGUUGUUAUGAGAUUCUGUGAAGAUUGGUUAUAACUGGAAGAUUAUGAUCGUGGUUAAUUAAAAAUUGUAUGUGUUCGGACCGAGGAAAUCUGGGAAAACAGAAAUUGUGUAAAGUCAGAUUAAUUGAGUAAGAUUGGUUAUUCCUGGUGUUGGAUGGAAUUUAUGUGUUUUGUAUGGACUUUUGAGACAGUGCAAAUUCCAUUUAGUGGCUAUUGGUUAAUGAAAGGGUUUCAUUAGCAGGAAAAAAUCUUGUAGUGUUUCUUCGUUGUUUUAAGUAGUGCGAAAUACAGUUAAUUGUGUGACCCUAACAUAUAAGCUCAUGCGGUAUUCUUUCUCUGUGUUCGAAUUCUCCUAUACAAGUUUAUUCUGAUUAGAUUAGUUAGAGUAAGUAAAAUGACAAUCACAAACCUUAUGACAUUUUGAAGGAUCUGGAUGCUAUUCGGCCUUCUAUUUCUAUGAAGCAACUUCUAGCGAUCGCACCACAGUACCGUUCUACAUUGAAUUCAUCGUUAACAUGGCAUAGGCAACGCAAUAAGGAAAUUUGUGAAGUCAGUUUGAACCUUGAUCCAAGUGCAUCAACCAUCGAUGUUUUGAUUGAUGGUGUUAUGAUCUCGGGUGUUCAGGUGGAUGGUGGUUCCAGCGUCAAUUUAAUGAACGCUGAUACAAUUGAUGCUUUAGAUUUGGAACACUUAGUACCCACAACAUUGAUGUUAAGGAUGGCAGAUCAUAGCCAAGUUAAACUAAUGGAUAUUUUCGGGAGUAUUCAAACUAUAAUUGCUGAUAUUGCAUAUGAAAUUGACUACAUUGUCUUUUGGUUAUAACGUUUAACUUUAUCACAUCCAAUUUUAUUGGGAUGACCGUAGCUUUAUCAAGAAAAGGCCAAGAACAAUUGGGGUCGGGGUACUUUGACAAUUGGUAAGGGCGGAGACAAAAUGGUGUUACAAAUGUAUCCAGUAUACUAUCACAGGGAGUUUCAAUUGCCAGCAUCUGAAUUGAUGUCAGACGAUGAGCUUAGCUCCGAUGAUGAUGUAGUAGCACCGAUUACGGAGGGGUCCAUGGAAGUAGCCCAACACCCUAGAGUGGUGUACGAAUGUGGCGGUCGGAGGGAAUAGAUAUAUAUCCGCCGGAUUUGAAAAACUCUGAUUAUGUUAGUAUUGAUUGGAUGAUUAAGUAUGAUAUGCACCAUAGAAGUGCUUUGGACAUAGGAUUCAGUACUUUGCACAUGUCGGACUUACCAACUAAUUUUUAACUAGUGCAGGGGUUGAAACAAAACAUCGUUGUUGUACCUUUAUGUCAAAAUAUCAACUUGGCAACCACAGCAAAGCCUCGGAAAAUUAAGGUCUACGAAGGUAUUAAGGAAGAGGAGUUGACCUACUGGACAAAAAUUUUCUUACAUCAUAAAUCCACUUUUGCUUGGACUUAUGAAGAUCUAAAAGGUAUCCCCGCUGAAGUUUGUGAGCAUGGUAUUAUUUUAGAGGAGCAUACUAAAUCGAUACGAUAGAGGCAACAUCGCCUUAAUCCUAAAUAUUUCCUCAUGGUGAAGGAGGAAUUCGACAAGCUUCUUGCAGUUGGUUUUAUUUAUCCGGUAUCGAAUAGUGAGUGGGUUUCUCUAAUCAACAGGGUGCCAAAAAGAAUGAGAAAAUCUAAAUUUGUUAGGAUUUCUGAAAACAUAAUGCAGCCACCAAGAAAGAUUAUUUUCCAUUACCUUUCAGGGACAGUAUGGGUAACUUGUUGUCAUUAUCACCAGGUAGUAAAAGAAUACGAGUGAAGUACCAUUUAAAGUCAUUUUGUGGUAUUGUUUUGGGUUGGUUGGAGUGCCAUUUUCUUGUAUUUCUUGCAUUUUUGAGAGUAGUAGUUCUAGUUAAGCGCUUGAUAGAGGGAGCGUCAUGGCAAUUGAAAGUGCAAAGCAAACUAUGGACAAAGAAGACAAUGGCCAAAAUGUGAAAGCUAAAUACGCAUCAAAACCACCUUCUAUGAUAAUCGUUACCAAUAUGGAGCCAAUGAAGUUAGAUAUCUGUUGGACGUUGAGAAGAAUAAGAGACUUUCGGAAUGCUCAAUUGGGCCAAAGAAAAUAGUAACUUUAUAGAGUUUUGUUAAGUAGUUUUUAAAUAAGAAUCAAUUGUGUGUUUGCGAGGAUACUGCACAGAUAAGAGUGGGGCUAUGUAGAAUAGAUAUUAGUUCAUUUCUAUAAGAUAUUGGUAAAAAAGACUAAUAAUCCAUAGAAUAGUCAGUUCAGGAGGACAGAUGAUUGAUUUAGUUAUUAAAAGUAGUUAUAUAUAGAAUUACAAUGUUGUAUGGCAUGAUUUGCUAUUUGGGAAUACAUUGGAUAUCUAGCUGUAGAGAGUGUAGCUUAAAUAUUUAUAUUAUUCUUGUCUUAGCUUCCAAAAUUCCUUUAUUUUUGUAUAAAACUCCAAAUAUAAUAAAAUCCUUUCAAAACAUAUUUUUCCUGGGAAGGAUUUUCAUGCUUCAAACUUUAGAAAAUCAUAACUAUUGAUUUAACUAUUUAGUUUGUUUCAAAUUUAUAAGAUAGGUAGAAUUCAACCUUAACUUUUACCACAAAAAAAACCAACUAUAAAUUCACCUCCGAUCUUUUUACAUCUAAGAAAUCCUAGCAGGCACUCUAAACCCUAAUUUACAAGCAUCCAAAAAACUAUUUUCCUUAUAUCUCAAAAAAAAAAAAAAAAAACUCCAAAUGUCAAAAAAACUUAUGCACAAAGUUUAUUAAUAUGAAAUUACACAUUUCCUGAAAUUUUGAGCCAAAACCUUAUCAAAUUGCUCAAGAUAUAGCUCAAGAGACAACCACUAAUAAAUCGGUUUACUUACUACCCUUAGAUUGCAUGUGCUGACUUCAAAAUCCAAUAACUCCUUCAUGCCAACUUGAAAUCCAGUAAGCAGUAUGUGAAAAGUAUAGCCGCAAAAGUGCUCUCUCCAGUCGCAGUUGGCGAUCUUCAAUUUCUGUCUGUGUGCACGCGUUAUGCCCAAAAGAGUGACAGUAGGUCCAAAACUAACACCUUAACUUUGAGUGCCUAUAACUUCUUCAUAAUAACCCCAAAUGACACAAAACUUGCACCAAAACCAUAGUCAAAAACCUAAACCUUGUGACCCUAGCCUUCAAAAUCCGAAUAGCUUCGAGAAACUAACCCUAAUCCCUAUUAUGGCCUCGGGCAGCCUCCUCAAAGCCCAUUGGUCAUGAUUUUUGACCAAUAGGAAUGGAGAUUUUUAUUUUUCAUCUCCAUUCAUCUAUAUUGGUGCCCUAAUUACUCCCUUUGCUACCAAAAUCCUUCUUCAAUCUUUUUUCUUAUAAGAUUUACAUAAUGUAUGCUCUAAACACCAAAUAAAAGAACCAAAAUAAGUUUUCAAAUAUCACCAAUGUCUAACAAAGGUGACUCUAAAUAUUUAGAAGUUACUAUCAACCAAAACCAAUCUUAAAAGCUACUAUCAAAAAAAAAAUUAAAAUUAUACAAAUUCUAUAGUAAUCUUUUUAAACAACCUCUUCUCAAAGUAAUAAUCAAAUUAUAUUCUACAACCAACUAAAAUCUACUAAUAUGGCUCUCACCAUAUUACUUAAUGAAUUAUAUAUUAAGUACAUAAUUACAUUAUUUUCAUAUAGUAGCCGAACAACAACACGACAAUGAUUAGAAUCUGGAAAUCAGGAAGAAUUAUAUAGGAGUUGUAGAAGUUUGUUGGGGGAACAGAUUGUGAUAGUCAUGAGCCGAGGUAAGCUUGGUGUUAUCUCUUUGUUUCUUUGUUUUCUUUGUUGUUGAAGAGUAAUGGAUAGUUUUUGAAUACUGAGAAGUGAGUCUAUGGAAUAAAUCAAAGAUUGAUUUAUGAGUUAUUGAUUAUGUAAUUGGAGUAUUAAGUGAUUGAAUUAUAUGAGGAGUUAUUGAAAGAUUAUGAUUGUUGUUUAUUGAGAGUUGUGUGUGUUUGGACAAAGGAAGUUGGUGAUUAUAAAAACUCUAUGAAUUCAGAUUGGUUGGAGUGAAAUCUGUUAUUCUUGGUAUUGGAUGGAAAUUAUUAUGUUUUAAGCAGUCUUUCGAGACUGCAAGGUUGCACAUUGUUGUUAUCAGUUGAUGAAGGAGUAUUGUUACUGGGAGAAAACAUCGUAAUGUUUCUUAGUAUUUUAGUGGUUUGAAAUGCAGUUAAUUGUGUGACCUUAAUAAGUAAAACUUAUGCACUUAGUCUUUCCCUGUGUUCGAAUGCCCCUAUACAGGUUUAUUUUGAAAAGAAUUGUAGAAUAAGUAAAACGAUAAUCACAAUAUAUGUAUAUAUUCUUUAUUUUUCUAAUCUAUCUUAUUUUAUCUUGAUUAUGGUCCUAUAAAGUAAGUAGAAGUCCACUUUAUAAAAAGAUAGUAUUUUUGUUUUUAGUUUUACUAUAUUUUGACUAUUAUUUAUAUUUAUAUGAUAAUUUUUUAUAAUAUUUUAAAAUAAGAUCUUCUAUAAUUUAAUAUUUCUUCAUUCUUUCACCUAUUAAAUAUUGUUGUAUUGUAAUACAAUUAUAUGGUGAAAAUAUAAUCAAAAAUAAAUUUCUAAAUAAUAUUUAAUUAUCUUGAUUCAAUAAUAAUUCAAGACAUUUAAAGUUAAGUAAGGUUUUUAUGAUAUUUGUAGAUCUAUUAGCUAGAUUAAGGUAAAAUUUGGCAUAAUAUUAGAAGACUUAAAGAUCAAGCUAUAUAUUAAUUUUGAGCUUAAGUUAAUAGUUAAAGAAGAAAAAUUGCUACUAGAACAUCUCCAUCAACUUUUGAAUUAGAAGUCAAGUGAAAUCAGUGCGAUUUUUUGGAAAUUUUUCACAAUUUGUAAGUUGGAUUGGAAUGAAUUUUUUUAAGUAUGUAGAAGUCUUAUAUUGGUAUUUAUGUAAUUUUUUUUGCAUCAAGUGGAUGGUCAAAUUAAGAGUUAUAACUUCUUGAAGCUCAUUGAUUAGGAUUAGGGCUUGUAAAGAGAAAUCGUAAUUUUCUAAUUAUAAAAGUAAUAAAGCAAUUGGAGUUUAUAUAUAAUUGUAAUUAUUAAGAAGAUUAUUUUUGAGCACUUUAUAUUAGCUUUAAGUACUUUUAAAUUGAAAUUCGAAUUCCAUUAUUUUUAUAUGGAUAAAACCUAUUAGGAUUUCUUAGAUAUUUCUAAAACAUAAUUUUAUCUUUCACAGUUAGGUGUCUAGUGCAUUCUCAAAUAAGACAAUACAUAAUAUGAUAUCAUAUUAUAAGAAGAUAUUAUAAUCUUAACUUUUCUUGUGGUUUCAUCUAAAAUUCUAAUAGUCAAGUAAAAAUACAUAAAUCUAAUAUAUACAAAUGCUUACUAAUAGGUGCAAAAGCUUUCAUUACUACAACAAAAGAAUGAUCAUUUUUUUAUUUUAUAUAUAUCAUUUUUAUUUUUAAUAAUAAAAAGAUACCAAGUAGUAUUCAUAGCUAGUAUCAAGAUUUUUAAGCUAUUUUUGAAAAAAAAAAAAAUAAUAAUACAAAUAUUCUUCCAAAGCAUUCAUCCUAAGAUUAUUCAAUUGAUUUUCAAGAAGGAACUCAACCACUAUUUGAAUCAAUCUAUAGCUUAUUGCCACAAACAUAUAUAUUUAUUCCAAUAAUUACUUAUAUGAUUAGGUAGAAGUAGGUAAAUAUAGAUCAAUUUCAUCAAUUCUUUUAGAGUAACUUUUUAGAAGCUUUAUAGACAUAGUUUUGACUUUAGAUGUAUUUGUAGGUUAGAAACUUAGCCAACAACUUAACCACAUAUUGGUAGCUUGUGGAACAAGUUAACUCCAUAUAGUAGCUUGUGAAAUAAGCUAAUUAUGUGGUACAUACAUGGAUAACUUAUCUUGCAAGUUAAGACAUGUGGCUAGCAAAGUCAACACAUAUUUCUAAUUAGGUUGCUUUAUAAUUAUUUCUAUUCAAAGAUCCACGUAUAUCACAAAUAUAGUAUUGUGAUAUGUAUUCAUAUUGAUAAGUCCAUCCAAUAGUCCACAAUAGUGAUGUUGAUUUUAAAAUAAAAAUAAAUCAAUCAACCAUAAAUAUUUCUAUAUCUCCUCUAUUCUCAUAAAAAAUCAAGAAGAAUGUAUUGAAAAUUUCCUUAUAUAAGAUUCUAUUGCACAUGAUGAUAAUUGAAAACUUAUAAGGAGCAAAAUGAAGUCAAAUUGAGUUAUUUUUCUUUCAAGGGCUUUCUGCAAAGUGACAAUUUUUAAAAUCAUAAUAUACUUUAAAAUAUUAAGCAUUCCAUUGAGUUCACAAAUACUCUAUCAAGCAUGACAACUUAAUACUAUUAACAAUAAAUAAGGAGAUAUGUAGUAAUAUAUAGCCUUGACAUACUAUCAUAUAUGAUGUUGAUUACAUUGUACAAAGUAAGAAAAAGAGGUUUAAUUAUGAAUAUUAAAUCAAAUAAGAGAAUAAAAAGAUUUCAAAUAUCUACUUGAUUUAAUUAAAAAUAGGAUAAUAUAAAACAAAACUUAAAGAAGAAACCUAAUAAAGUAAAUUAUUUCACAAAAUUAAAAACAGAAGAUUUAUAGAAAGAAAAAUUUAUGCAUCAUGUACUUUCGUAUUUGAAAGUAAUAUAAUAUAUAAAAAUAAUAUAAAAUAUUAUAAAAUUUUAGAUUUUAAUUAAAAAUAAAAUAAAAUAAAAUAAAAUAUUUAUCUAAUUUAUUUAAGUUUAUAGUUUAAAUUUUGUAAUUAAAGUUAGAAAUUGUAAGAUUUAAGAAGAAAGAAUUUAAAGUGGCUUUGAUGUCAAAAAUAUAAUAUUUUGAUUCCUAAGCCAUUCCAUGUGGAUAGAUAAGGUGAGUGAUAGAGGACUUUAUUUCGAUUGGUUGAAAGUUAUGUUCAAUGGGCUUUGAGAUGUUACUUGGGACCACACUAGAAUUUGGGACCACUUUAGGGCAACUCAUUUGAGGCAAGGCAAUCUAUUUGAAGUUUAGAGUUUGGAUUCAAAAAGCUUGUAUUUUGGACUAAAAGUUAGAUUUAAAAAAAUAUAUGAUUUAGAGUUUUAAUGAGAGAGAUAUGGUUAUUUACGGAUGUAAGUUUGAUACCUACUAUUAUUCUUUUAAGUAUAAGAGAGUUGUAAGAAGGCAUUCAAUAAUCAAAAAGUAAAAUUUGAAAUUUGAAUUGAAGAAUUACAUUAAAUAUAAAGAAAUUAAUAUAUAUCAAUUUGAAAUAAAGAAAAAAGAACUCUAGAAAGUUAAUACUUAAAAAUUAGAAUUUGUAAGUAAAUUCUUUUCAUAGAGGUUUUGAUUUGAGCCAUAUCUUGAGUUUUUGAAUGAAAUUUUGGCUCAAAAUUUCCAUAAGUAUACAAGACUAUGUUAAGAAGUUUUAUAUAAAAAAUUUAUAGUAUUUGAAUGUUGGAUUUUUGAGAUAUGGUGGAUUUAGUGCUCAGAUGCUUAAAAUUUGACAUGUUUAGCACCUACUAGAAAUGAGGCAAUAUCUUAAGACUUGUAAUGAAUUUAUUGUUGAUUUUUGUGUAAAAAUAGUCAAGUAUAUGAGUUAACUUGCAGAGAAUUUUGAAUCCCCUUAGAUAGUUAGAUUGUAAGUUAUUAUGUGUUGCAUAUAUGGAAAGAAUCUCUAUAGGAGUAGAAGUGAUGUUAAGAUAUCUAGUCACAUAUUAGGUACUUUUAUGCAUCAUAAACUUCUAUACUUGAUAUAAUUGUCUUCUUGAAGACAAGCUAUAAAUAAUAUUUGUGUUUUAAAAACUUGUUUGAGCAAUUAGUAGUAGCUAAAGGCCUAGCACUUUCUUGAAACAAACUCUCUUUACAACAACAAUGCUCUACUACUAUGUUUUCUACAAUAGAAAAGAAGUAGAACUUUAGAACUGUUCAAGCUCUGUUUGUAAAGGUGAUUACAUCAUGAUAAGAAAUUACCUCACAAAUGGUAUGAACUCCCUGCAUUCUUGAAUGUGCAUCUUAAAAAAGCAACACUGGUCAAAGGGAGACAUAUCCAUAAUAGAUUUGAGUGAAUUGAGUCGCAGCAAGUCCACAAAUUCUCUGUAUGGUCCAAAGAAUCUUGGUGACAUGUACUAGCAAAACCAUCCGUAUGGGCAGCAUCACCAUCCCUCACAAUACUCGCUGCUUCAAUCGAAGCCACUGGGGCUGCAGCUGUCAAGGUAACCCAGAUUUCGGACUCUUUUGCUAGGAAGCUCAACGGUUCAUGUAAAACUCAAUGCGCAGUGAAUUGCCAAUUUUGGUUUACAUCAUAAAUAUAACAUUCAUGUCACUCUCACGUAUAAUCAGGUGAAAGAGACGCACAUUUUUGUUUGAAAUCUCCUAGGGCUGAAAGCGGAUCAAUGGAUAAGUUGUAUACUAGAUCAAGGCCAUUGACAAUGAAAACAAAGGUACAAUAUUCACACAAGAAGUCUUGGCAAUAUGAUUCGUUCAUAAGGCCAAACAGUCGCAUUCGGCAUCAACAUCGUCAUCUUCUGGACACCUGUCCUGUGUAGACUGCGAAAAGCAUCAUCAUCAGCACAAAAGAACUAGAAUAACCACUCACCUACAAAUUUAUGUCCUUGACAAAAUGUGUACUUCUGAUGAAGAAACGGUCGUGCUCCUUUACCUUGAUAUAGUUCAUACUUAGUUAGGAGCUGUGCAUUGCGAUGAGUUUCUGCAUCAAAUCGUUCUUUCAGUUCCACUUCGUGGAACAAUGUUCUUCUUAACAUCAUUGUGAUAUAUUCCAAUAUGGUUUGGACUUACUCUUUUCUCCGCUCCAGCUGAACAAAACGAACAGAAGUACGUAUAUUACUGAACAAACAGGCAUGAUGAACCACACAAGGCCGAAAAGUAGUAUACAUGAGAAUCACUGUAUUCAAGCCUACUAUCUCUUUGAUACUUUGGUAUCUCUCGAUGGACUGAAAAAUUUAUAUCUCCGUACCUGGUCUGAUUCUUGUGUAAACUCUAGUCAAAAUUGUUUUGAAAAACUGAAAUUAGCAUACCUCUUCUCGUUCCGCAUCUUUCGCAACUUCGGCUCUUUACAGUUAGAAAUGACUAAGAGGCUGCAAUUCUAUCCAAACUUAGUAUGGGUGGAAACACCUGUUUAACAUGGAAACAACUUUACACAAUUACAUGCAACGUCAACGGGCCUUCGAGUACUCACCAGCACCUACUAUGCACACGGUGCUAUUCUUCAAGCCAAAAUGAUCUACUAAGAUCAGUUGCCAUCAUAUAAUAAAACACGCCAAGGCUACAAAACACGCAUCGCACAGCCAUCGACAAUAUCACAUAGGACUAAAGUAAAAUCUACCAUAUGAUCACCUCCUCAGCAAACACCAUGCAUCUUGUCCAUGGAGUCAAAUCUUCUAGUCCACACUUUCUUCGCCCUCUCAAUAGAGCCGUCGUUUAAGUCACUUCAUUACUUACGACAUACGUCAUGCCUGACAACAAAUCUGUGGUGAUAAAACACACAACAGCAGGCAGAUUACACUGCUGCUCCUGUGGGCAUUAUGGUUACAGUCAGUUCACUAUUUCUUGGAAGAAUAUAAGUGGGCAGAUUUCUAAGUUCCACGGCAAAAAUCAUAGAAAAUGUGCUGACAUCUCUCACAAGAAAGGAAAUGGACGCAAGAGAGUGAAGUAUUUCAGGUUGAAAUUAUGCAGACAUGUUCGAUUCUGCCAGAUAUGUAAAAAGUUCAUGUAAAGAAUAAUCAAUAAGCAAGAAUCGUGUUCGGGCAUGUCUACAACUAACUUGUCAGAGAAAUAUCAUGCGAUACGGUGCAAUAACUGUCCCUUGAAAUGAGAUUGUCACAGAGAUACGUGUUCCAGACCAUACAUUGCAUACAUAGUUCACGAUCCGGGCAUGAUCAUCAAAGCCACGAGGUAAUCAAGCGGAGCAGACGACACAAAAGGAGCAUCCUUGCGAUAAUGCGCAACUAUAAUUUCCUCGCUGUAUGUACUUUUCAAAUCAAUCAUAGCAACGAGUAACUGCACAUAAAAUUUCAAAAGUAAUAAAAAUACUUCCCUCACGGUAAAAGUCCUGAAAUUUCUGUAUGGUGAGAGGGAAAACAAAUUCUUCGUUUCAAUUGGAAAUGAAUAAUCCGAUAGCUUAGAUCUAAGAGUGCAAAUAUAAGCACAGAAACUACCCUAAAGACUUAAUACAUUUUCAUGAGUACUUCGGCUACAGUUACGAUCGCCUAGAAAACUGCAUCGUGCAACUCCAGGUUCUCGUUCCCACUCCAGUCACCCGCUGCAGCUCACCGCCACAAAAGUCCACUUUACGAUCUUCAUGGAUCGUUAUUACAUCUGAGAAAUACUCUUCAUUACCUCUGUAAAAAGCACCUCGCCCUCUAGUUCUUCCUAAAACCCAAUCCAUCGGCCAUUCCCCUGUUCGCCAACACGGAGACGCUCCGCUUCACGUCGACCGAAAUCUUUCCAUCAGAUCCAACAACAACAGCUUUCUCCUUCCUCCAUCUUACAACAACUUAGCAGCAACGAAGGCAACGACGCAGCCAACAACCGGCGCAACCAUGGUUGGCACGACUGAGCCGACGCCGGAAUCCUGCCCUGCGGGAGCAGGGGCCUGGGCCUGGGCCAUGGCAGAGGAUGCCAUGGUAGAAACUACGACAACAGCAACGACGGCAGCCCUCUUCACAGCUGAGAAAGCCAUUUCAAAAACUCUGCAGAAUCAAGCACCUAAUCGAUGAAGCUUUAAAGAAUGAGUGCUGCGGAAAGCGGAAAUCGAGUAAGCGAAGUGCAGAAGUUUGAAGCUCGAUCAAUGCACGAGUGCAGCGGAAGACGGCAGAGAGAUGUCAGAGAGACGCUCGAUAGAUCUCGGUGCUGCUGAGCAAUACAGUACGCGAGAAGGGAAUCAGCGACGAAGUGAGAAUGCCAAGUGCUUGGGUAGAGAGAGGCUUUAGUAAACAGGGAGUGGGGGGGGGGGGGGGGGGGGGGACGGGUUUCGGGCGCGAGGAUCCGAGCCCAUUUGAUGCCGCAGUUACCAGGUGGGAAGGGGAAGGGGAAGAGCCAGAUCCCCCACACCCGCGGGGGGCUUAGCAAGCCGCCUCCCAUCCUCGCCCGUUCCGGAUCCUUUUCCCCACAAUCGGCAUUCUUUUG